Lolium rigidum is the source of this 2155-nucleotide long non-coding RNA. RefSeq lists it as uncharacterized. The transcript has 5 exons. The record is from RefSeq and is a predicted model, not a curated record. Lineage: Eukaryota; Viridiplantae; Streptophyta; Magnoliopsida; Poales; Poaceae.
GAGCCGAACAAAAUCCCACCGCUCCUCCCAUUGCUAAAGUUCUUGCCGCGUCUCAGGCUCCGCCGCUAUUACCCCACCUCCAAGCCCCAUCGCCACCUUGGAUUCCUUGGCCUGGGCUCCCUUCCUUUAGUCUUCACGGCUCACCGCGGGGAACUCCGGCCCGGGUCAUACACGGCGUCAAGCUCCCGAUCCUUGGCAAUAUGGGGAUGGGGGCCUGAAGUUCUCUGGGUGGCCGUGACCGCCGUGGGCGACGAAGGGGAUCAACAUGGCUGGUGCGGCCGUGAGCUCCCAGAUGGAGCGGCGCCGGCCGCUGCCUAUGAAUUUCACCGUCGGGGGAGAGCCGCCACAGCGGCUCCUUUUCUCCUCUCUUCCUCCCCACCGACCGCUGCCCGUCACGCUCGACUGCCGGCCGAUCUAAGUCCUACGCAGGCGCAUCGGCGGUAGUGAGGAGCCUUGGGACUACCCGGUAAUCCGGAGACCGGCGGGGACGGCGCGCCAGCUUUGAGGAAGGGGACGGCGUGAAGGGAUGCGCCCCCGGACCUCUACUGAUUCCGCCGCCGAGGCGCGAACACCCUGGCAGUCGAUGAUGCGGCCGCGGCCUCACCCUGCACCAGUCCUCCAGCGUGUGCGCGUAUACGCAGCCGACCCCAGCGGCGGCGACGGCGUGCACACGCGCCGGGUGCCGGCAGGGCGCGAGGCGAAGUCCCUCGGCACGAAGAUCGGUGGGCUCCCGACUAGACGGCCACCUGGAGGCAUUCAAUCGCUCAAAUCUAGCGCCCGAGAGAGGAGUUGGGGAGGAUAAAAAGAGGUCGUUUCACAGCGUGGUCCAGCGCUGCAGUGUCGAGCAACAAUGCCCGUGGAUGCCAUGGUCAAGCGCUACGGUGGACGAGUACAUGUACGCAAUGGUUGAGCGACGCUGAUGGGAAUUGAUUGGGGAUUUUGACUGCUGCUCUGCUCCCGUUUUCGCCAGAGGCUGGAUGUUGCUCUAGGAUCUGCCGGCUGGGUCGGGCGGAUUUGCCGUCCGCCAGCGCUGCCGCUGCUCGGAGUUGUUGCUGUGAUGGGAACUGAAGGGUGUGGUGCAGAGUUGUUGGUGGCCGCUGGCUUUGUUUGAUUCGUCCGUGGUUCUGCGGACGUUUUUAUGCUUCAAUGAGUUGUGAUUUCCGAUUCAAUCACUUGGUUAAUUUUUAGUUUGCUGAUUGCUCUUUCGCUGCUGUGGUUUAGCUUUUCGGCCGUGUUUGUUGGCAUAGAUCCUAACUGCUGCUGCAAUCUUUGCCAAAGUGCCGUACGUCUUGAUCUGGCCGAUACUUUUGGCUGAGAGCAACACACAGAGUACAAGCUUCCAGCGACUUGCUUUCUCGCUGAACCUGGACGCAAGCUAACUAACAUGAUGAUUGAUUAAUUGAUCUACUAGCAACACAUGCGAAUCAAUCUGGAUUGCUAGAGGCACAUGUCAUGUCCUUACUUCUUUCUAUUAUUUUCCAAUCGCACAGAUUACAGGGAGGUUACAUAUGUGUAUAAUUAACCUAGCUCUGAAUAACUAGGAUUAUAAUACUAAUUCAUACUCCCUCCUUUUCCCACGCCAGCCCCUUCUUUGCCCCGUGCUCCUCUCUCCGUUUCUAGAGUUCACUGAUGCUUGGUCUCUGACACGCAGGUCUGCGUGGCUUCCGAUGAUAUGCCAGGUCGCCCCGUGCUGCAACGCCUCCGGGUCGUUAUCUGUAAUGUUUGCAGAGAGGGGCUGAUACAGUUGGUCGAGUAGUUCUCAAGCCGAGGGGAUAAACCUUGGAAGGCUCUAUACCAAGGAAUCUGGAGUUUAUAGUACACAUGUACUUCCUCAUAAACCAAUUGAGCUUUCAUUGGCAUUGUAGAAGACGAUACAUUGUUCUUUGACUAUAUUGCUGGUUCAACGCUCAAAGUGACCAUCUUCAGGUACAAUGGAUGCGAGAAGAUCUAGGACCACUGUACUUAGAGAUCAACGUGAAAUAACCUUUUGUUCAUCGGUAUAGCUAUCCAUGCUAUCGCUUAUAUAUAAUAAUAAUAGUUCUUCUCUCUUACUCUCUGAGAUUACCAAUUGAUCAUCCAUUGUAGAAUGAUGAUCAAUAUACAGUACCAAGUAUUAUUACUAGACUAAAUUAUUACUAGACUAAAUUUCUGUCUC